GCAACUCGCCUACACGAAGCCGGAAUCGCUAGUAAUCGCGGAUCAGCAUGCCGCGGUGAAUACGUUCCCGGGCCUUGUACACACCGCCCGUCACACCAUGAGAGUCUGUAACACCCAAAGCCGGUGGGAUAACCUUUAUAGGAGUCAGCCGUCUAAGGUAGGACAGAUGAUUAGGGUGAAGUCGUAACAAGGUAGC
Molecule: ribosomal RNA, 196 nt
Filed under: uncultured bacterium
Lineage: Bacteria
Description: partial 16S ribosomal RNA
Rfam family: Bacterial small subunit ribosomal RNA
Source: RNAcentral